This 253-nucleotide ribosomal RNA is filed under the name uncultured bacterium. RNAcentral's name for it is "partial 16S ribosomal RNA". It matches the Rfam family "Bacterial small subunit ribosomal RNA", at positions 524 to 776 of the family's 1533-position model. The record is from RNAcentral.
UACGUAGGUGGCGAGCGUUGUCCGGAUUUACUGGGCGUAAAGAGCGCGCAGGCGGCCAAGUCAGUCGAAUGUGAAAGCCCCCGGCUCAACUGGGGAAAGUCAUCCGAUACUGCUUGGCUCGAAGAUGGGAGAGGGAAGCGGAAUUUCAGGUGUAGUGGUGAAAUGCGUAGAUAUCUGAAGGAACACCAGUGGCGAAGGCGGCUUUCUGGCCCAUUCUUGACGCUGAGGCGCGAAAGCUAGGGGAGCGAACGGG